This is a long non-coding RNA of Hylaeus anthracinus, 618 nucleotides long. RefSeq lists it as uncharacterized. The record is from RefSeq and is a predicted model, not a curated record. NCBI's taxonomy places the organism in Eukaryota, Metazoa, Arthropoda, Insecta, Hymenoptera, Colletidae. The transcript has 3 exons.
AGAACCAACAACAAAACUUCUGUCUGACGGAAUUCAACCUUAAAAAAAUAUAUGUAGGAUAUGGGAACUGGAUUUGAAAGUGACAGGUUUUGAUUAAUAACCUCGGAUUGUCAUUUAAAAUGUAUCUUUCCUAAGUGUACUAGUCAAAACAAAACUCAAAUACAGAAAUUACAAUUAGUUUUUCAAAUAGUCGUUGUGCAAACAAGUACGCGGCUACUUCGAGAUGACAACCGAAUUGACAAACAAAUUGCCGCAUAACAGGGGCACCUCUGCGCCUACGAGAUGACAUCUAAACCGACAAACCGGCUAGCAUCGGUUGCCGCAUAACAGGGGCACCUCUGCGCCUAACGAGAUGACAAUCGAACCAUCCAGCAGAGUACUACUGGUUGCUGCAUACUGGGGACAUCCGUGCAUAAAAAUAAAAGAAAUGCGUGCAAAUACAUAGACAUAAGUGAAAAGAUGUACAAAUAGUUCUAAGUCAGCAGUAUUAAAAUAACUUGUAAUUAUAUAGUAACUUUAAUAAACAAUCAAACAAAUAAACGUGUCAGAUUUUAUUCGUGCCACUCUUCCCAUAUCAUGUUCUCCUGUUAUGCUCAAAGUUCAACAAUGUUGCAAAUG